Molecule: ribosomal RNA, 1321 nt
Filed under: Helicobacter pylori
Lineage: Bacteria; Pseudomonadati; Campylobacterota; Epsilonproteobacteria; Campylobacterales; Helicobacteraceae
Description: bacterial SSU rRNA
Rfam family: Bacterial small subunit ribosomal RNA
Source: RNAcentral
UUUUAUGGAGAGUUUGAUCCUGGCUCAGAGUGAACGCUGGCGGCGUGCCUAAUACAUGCAAGUCGAACGAUGAAGCUUCUAGCUUGCUAGAAUGCUGAUUAGUGGCGCACGGGUGAGUAACGCAUAGGUCAUGUGCCUCUUAGUUUGGGAUAGCCAUUGGAAACGAUGAUUAAUACCAGAUACUCCCUACGGGGGAAAGAUUUAUCGCUAAGAGAUCAGCCUAUGUCCUAUCAGCUUGUUGGUAAGGUAAUGGCUUACCAAGGCUAUGACGGGUAUCCGGCCUGAGAGGGUGAACGGACACACUGGAACUGAGACACGGUCCAGACUCCUACGGGAGGCAGCAGUAAGAGCGCGUAGGCGGGAUAGUCAGUCAGGUGUGAAAUCCUAUGGCUUAACCAUAGAACUGCAUUUGAAACUACUAUUCUAGAGUGUGGGAGAGGUAGGUGGAAUUCUUGGUGUAGGGGUAAAAUCCGUAGAGAUCAAGAGGAAUACUCAUUGCGAAGGCGACCUGCUGGAACAUUACUGACGCUGAUUGCGCGAAAGCGUGGGGAGCAAACAGGAUUAGAUACCCUGGUAGUCCACGCCCUAAACGAUGGAUGCUAGUUGUUGGAGGGCUUAGUCUCUCCAGUAAUGCAGCUAACGCAUUAAGCAUCCCGCCUGGGGAGUACGGUCGCAAGAUUAAAACUCAAAGGAAUAGACGGGGACCCGCACAAGCGGUGGAGCAUGUGGUUUAAUUCGAAGAUACACGAAGAACCUUACCUAGGCUUGACAUUGAGAGAAUCCGCUAGAAAUAGUGGAAUGUCUAGCUUGCUAGACCUUGAAAACAGGUGCUGCACGGCUGUCGUCAGCUCGUGUCGUGAGAUGUUGGGUUAAGUCCCGCAACGAGCGCAACCCCCUUUCUUAGUUGCUAACAGGUCAUGCUGAGAACUCUAAGGAUACUGCCUCCGUAAGGAGGAGGAAGGUGGGGACGACGUCAAGUCAUCAUGGCCCUUACGCCUAGGGCUACACACGUGCUACAAUGGGGUGCACAAAGAGAAGCAAUACUGCGAAGUGGAGCCAAUCUUCAAAACGCCUCUCAGUUCGGAUUGUAGGCUGCAACUCGCCUGCAUGAAGCUGGAAUCGCUAGUAAUCGCAAAUCAGCCAUGUUGCGGUGAAUACGUUCCCGGGUCUUGUACUCACCGCCCGUCACACCAUGGGAGUUGUGUUUGCCUUAAGUCAGGAUGCUAAAUUGGCUACUGCCCACGGCACACACAGCGACUGGGGUGAAGUCGUAACAAGGUAACCGUAGGUGAACCUGCGGUUGGAUCACCUCCUUUCUAGA